Molecule: small RNA, 54 nt
Filed under: Vibrio cholerae O1 biovar El Tor str. N16961
Lineage: Bacteria; Pseudomonadati; Pseudomonadota; Gammaproteobacteria; Vibrionales; Vibrionaceae
Source: RNAcentral
ACUUUAAUGGAACGAAAUCGGCACCGAUAAAAUAAUAAAGGGUGACCAAAGGGG